CUACGGGCGGCAGCAGUGGGGAAUAUUGCACAAUGGAGGAAACUCUGAUGCAGCAACGCCGCGUGGAGGAUGACACUUUUCGGAGCGUAAACUCCUUUUAUAUAGGAAGAAGAUGACGGUACUAUAUGAAUAAGCGCCGGCUAACUCCGUGCCAGCAGCCGCGGUAAUACGGAGGGCGCAAGCGUUACUCGGAAUCACUGGGCGUAAAGAGCGUGUAGGCGGAUUAAAAAGUCAGAAGUGAAAUCCUAUAGCUUAACUAUAGAACUGCUUCUGAAACUCUUAAUCUAGAAUAUGGGAGAGGUAGAUGGAAUUUCUGGUGUAGGGGUAAAAUCCGUAGAGAUCAGAAGGAAUCCCGAUUGCGAAGGCGAUCUACUAGAACAUUAUUGACGCUGAGACGCGAAAGCGCGGGGAGCAAACAGGAUUAGAUACCCCGGUAGUC
This 439-nucleotide ribosomal RNA is filed under the name uncultured bacterium. RNAcentral's name for it is "partial 16S ribosomal RNA". It matches the Rfam family "Bacterial small subunit ribosomal RNA", at positions 339 to 795 of the family's 1533-position model. The record is from RNAcentral.